UACGUAGGGUGCGAGCGUUAAUCGGAAUUACUGGGCGUAAAGCGUGCGCAGGCGGUUAUAUAAGACAGAUGUGAAAUCCCCGGGCUCAACCUGGGAACUGCAUUUGUGACUGUAUAGCUAGAGUACGGUAGAGGGGGAUGGAAUUCCGCGUGUAGCAGUGAAAUGCGUAGAUAUGCGGAGGAACACCAAUGGCGAAGGCAAUCCCCUGGGCCUGUACUGACGCUCAUGCACGAAAGCGUGGGGAGCAAACAGG
Molecule: ribosomal RNA, 253 nt
Filed under: uncultured bacterium
Lineage: Bacteria
Description: partial 16S ribosomal RNA
Rfam family: Bacterial small subunit ribosomal RNA
Source: RNAcentral